UAAGGAAUAUUGCGCAAUGGGCGAAAGCCUGACGCAGCGACGCCGCGUGGGGGAUGAAGGUCUUCGGAUUGUAAACCCCUUUCGGGAGGGAAGAUGGGAUGGGGUAACCCAUUCGGACGGUACCUCCAGAAGCAGCCACGGCUAACUUCGUGCCAGCAGCCGCGGUAAUACGAAGGUGGCAAGCGUUGUUCGGAUUUACUGGGCGUACAGGGAGCGUAGGCGGUUGGAUAAGCCCUCCGUGAAAUCUCCAGGCUUAACCUGGAAAGUGCAGAGGGGACUGUUCAGCUAGAGGAUGGGAGAGGAGCGCGGAAUUCCCGGUGUAGCGGUGAAAUGCGUAGAGAUCGGGAGGAAGGCCGGUGGCGAAGGCGGCGCUCUGGAACAUUUCUGACGCUGAGGCUCGAAAGCGUGGGGAGCAAACA
RNAcentral lists this ribosomal RNA (419 nucleotides) under bacterium. RNAcentral describes it as "partial 16S ribosomal RNA". It matches the Rfam family "Bacterial small subunit ribosomal RNA", at positions 355 to 774 of the family's 1533-position model. RNAcentral also lists the same sequence under 2 other names. The record is from RNAcentral.